CCAAGGACUCUGUUAUCAUCCAUCCAAGGAUCAAGAACCCUUUUCUGAGGAAGGAAAUUGCUUCACUCUUGCUGAAACUUUCCAAGAAAGAAGAACAAAGCCUUGAUAGUCACAUAUACCAUUCUCUGACUUCUGAUAUCAAAAUUGCUGUACCUAAGAAUGAAUUACCAUCACCAUGCUCAAGAAAACUACUAGCAUUUAAUGUGUAUUAAAGCAGACUAUUAUCAAAGUUGCGUUCUUAGAUUUUGUCAAUAAAUAUUUUUUACGCUUAGAAAAA
Long non-coding RNA from Homalodisca vitripennis (glassy-winged sharpshooter), 277 nucleotides. RefSeq lists it as uncharacterized. The record is from RefSeq and is a predicted model, not a curated record. The transcript has 2 exons. Lineage: Eukaryota; Metazoa; Arthropoda; Insecta; Hemiptera; Cicadellidae.